RNAcentral lists this ribosomal RNA (2394 nucleotides) under human gut metagenome. RNAcentral's name for it is "bacterial LSU rRNA". It matches the Rfam family "Bacterial large subunit ribosomal RNA", at positions 555 to 2830 of the family's 2925-position model. The record is from RNAcentral.
ACCGUGCGCCUACAAUCCGUCGGAGCCCCUUUGUGGGGUGACGGCGUGCCUAUCGAAAAAUGAGUCUGCGAGUCAGUGGCAUGUGGCGAGCAUAAGCCGUGUGGCGUAUGCGUAGCGAAGGCGAGUCUUAAAAGGCGUUUGAGUCGCGUGUCCUGGACCCGAAGCGGGAUGAUCUAGCCCUGAGCAGGUUGAAGCGCGGGUAAGACCGUGUGGAGGACCGAACCCACCUGGGUUGAAAACCGGGGGGAUGACUUGGGGCUAGGGGUGAAAGGCCAAUCAAAUUCCGUGAUAGCUGGUUCUCUCCGAAAUGCAUUUAGGUGCAGCGUCGGAUCGAUUACAUCCGGGGGGUAGAGCGACUGGAUGCUUGCGGGCCCAUAUCGGGUACCAACAGCAACCAAACUCCGAAUACCCGUGAUGCGUAUCCCGGCAGUGAGUCGGCGGGGGAUAAGCUCCGUCGUCGAAAGGGAAACAGCCCAGAUCGUCGUCUAAGGUCCCCAAGCGUGUGCUAAGUGGGAAAGGAUGUGGAGUCGCAUAGACAGCCAGGAGGUUGGCUCAGAAGCAGCCACCCUUGAAAGAGUGCGUAACAGCUCACUGGUCUAGUGGUUCCGCGCCGACAAUGUAGCGGGGCUCAAGCACACCACCGAAGACGCGGCAGUAGCUUUGCUACUGGGUAGGAGAGCGUCCCAUGCGGGGCGAAGCGGCGGCGCAAGCCCGCCGUGGACUGCAUGGGAGUGAGAAUGCAGACAUGAGUAGCGAAAGACGGGUGAAGAUCCCGUCCGCUGGACGACCAAGGGUUCCAGGGCCACGUUCAUCGUCCCUGGGUGAGUCGGGUCCUAAGGCGAGGCCGACAGGCGUAGUCGAAUGGAUGAACGGGUCGAUAUUCCCGUACCGGCAUGCAACCGACAAAACCGAAUCCGCGAGUACUAACCUCCGGGUCCGGGCUUACGUCUCCUUCGGGAGCCGGAUGCCCUGGCCUGUUGGGACCGUAACGGUAGUAGGUCAGCGCGGGAGUGACGCAGAAGGGUAGCCGGCCGCGGAGGUGGUCUUCCGUGGUCAAGCACGCAGCCCGUCCCACAGGCAAAUCCGUGGGGCGCGUGGGCGAGGUGCGAUGAUGGGCGCCGCAGGGCGCGAUAUCCGGUGAUCCCGGCUGCCGAGAAAAGCUUCGGCGUGAGGCGGCGUGCCGCCCGUACCCCAAACCGACACUGGUGGUCAGGUAGAGAAUACCAAAGCGAUCGAGCGAAUCCUGGUCAAGGAACUCGGCAAAUCACUCCCGUUCCUUCGGUUUAAGGGAGACCCCCGAUGGUGAAGCGGCUUGCCCGUGGAGCUUUUGGGGGUGGCACAGACCAGGGGGUAGCGACUGUUUACCAAAAACACAGGAGCGUGCGAAGGCGCAAGCCGCUGUAUACGCUCUGACGCCUGCCCGGUGCCGGAAGGUUAAGAGGAUCCGUCAGGCUUCGGCCGAAGCGGUGAAUUCAAGCCCCGGUAAACGGCGGUGGUAACUAUAACCAUCCUAAGGUAGCGAAAUUCCUUGUCGGGUAAGUUCCGACCUGCACGAAUGGCGUAACGACUUCCCCACUGUCUCGACCAGGAGCUCGGCGAAAUUGCAGUACGAGUAAAGAUGCUCGUUAAGCGCAGAAGGACGAAAAGACCCCGGGACCUUUACUAUACCUUGGUAUUGGCAUUCGGUGUGGAUUGUGUAGCAUAGGCGGAAGGCUUCGAAGCCACGGCGCCAGCCGCGGUGGAGCCGCAAGGUGAAAUACCGCUCUGUUCGCAUUGGAUGUCUAACCUCGACCAGUCAUCCUGGUCAGGGACAGUGCCUGGCGGGUAGUUUAACUGGGGCGGUUGCCUCCCAAAGAGUAACGGAGGCGCUCAAAGGUUCCCUCAGCCCGGUUGGCAAUCGGGUGGCGAGUGUAAGUGCACAAGGGAGCUUGACUGCGAGACUGACGGGUCGAGCAGGGACGAAAGUCGGAACUAGUGAUCCGGUGCCGGUGUACGGACGCGGCAUCGCUCAACGGAUAAAAGGUACCCCGGGGAUAACAGGCUGAUCAUUCCCAAGAGUCCAUAUCGACGGGAUGGUUUGGCACCUCGAUGUCGGCUCGUCGCAUCCUGGGGCUGGAGCAGGUCCCAAGGGUUCGGCUGUUCGCCGAUUAAAGCGGCACGCGAGCUGGGUUCAGAACGUCGUGAGACAGUUUGGUCUCUAUCCUCUGCGCUCGUCGGAAUGUUGAGGAGGCCUGCCCAUAGUACGAGAGGACCUGGGUGGACGAACCUCUGGUAUGCCGGUUGUCACGCCAGUGGCACGGCCGGUUGGCUACGUUCGGAAGGGAUAACCGCUGAAAGCAUCUAAGCGGGAAGCCUGCUCCAAGAUAAGCAUUCCAUAGGACUACGGGUCCUUGA